RNAcentral lists this long non-coding RNA (33840 nucleotides) under Sorghum bicolor (sorghum). RNAcentral's name for it is "long non-coding RNA (SBIC_LNC016935)". The stretch from base 2513 to 2621 matches the Rfam family "MIR5565 microRNA precursor family". The record is from RNAcentral. Lineage: Eukaryota; Viridiplantae; Streptophyta; Magnoliopsida; Poales; Poaceae.
UACAAUUGGCUGCUCAAACACGAUUUUCUAUAUUGAUAAAAACUAGUUUUAGGUAUGAAAACAGGUCCCAUUGUAUUUUGUUCCAUUUCAAGAUGCUGUGUAGUUUCUUAUGAGAGUCGGUAAAUUUUGGGUCAGUGCUCUCCAUCCAAUUGUUAUCAAAACCAAUUUAUGAUGAAAGAAUAAUAUAUAGGUCCAUAUAAGUCAUUAUUGACGCCUUAAUGCUGGUUCAAUAUAACUUGUCAGAUAAAGAAUCACAAUUAAAGUUGAUUAAUUUGAACUCUAGGUAUUGCUUCAAAAUACCCGAUGGCUACCCUUUGGCAAAGGCAGCACCUCUUCUAUGCGCUGGAAUAACUGUGUAUACUCCAAUGAUGCAACACAACAUGAACCAACCUGGAAAGUCACUUGGGGUCAUUGGACUCGGUGGCCUAGGUCACAUGGCGGUGAAAUUUGGUAAAGCGUUUGGUCUUAAGGUCACAGUUUUGAGUACAAGUGAAUCAAAGAGACAUGAAGCCAUCAGCCUACUUGGAGCAGAUAAUUUUGUUAUAUCAUCAGACACACAGCAGAUGGAGGUACUAACCUGCACAUUGCAUAAUUUCAACAUACCUAGACACCUUGUACUUGUACUUUAUCUGUUUCAAAAUAUGAGACGUUUUAUUUUUGUCCUAAGUCAAAAUUUUCUAUGUUUUACAAAUUUAAUAGAAAAAAAAUGCACGAGUACCUCUAACACCAAACUUAUUUCAUUAAAUUUACCGUGAAAUGUGUCUUCAUGGCACAUUUAUUUGGUAUUGUAAAUGUUAAUAUAUUUUUCUAUAACUUGGUCAAAAUUAGAGAAAAUUGACUUAGGAUUAAAACUAAAACAUCUUACAUUUUGAAAUGGAGGGAAUAUACCCUGUUUGCCUUCUUAAUAAUAUGACACCAUCUUUUGGUGGGGUUCUUUUUAUUUCUUCAUUGUAUUACCAAAGAUACAAGGACAUCACAUUAUUUUUGUAUGGAAGGAACAAAUAGCGAAUCAGUAUCUUUCUCAUUUCAUUGUUUUGCUAUUUGACUUUAAAGUUCCAGCAGUCAGUUCUGUAUAUGACCAGGAUAGUUUUCUUAUGCUAUGUUUGUUCUGCUUUACCUGAAAACUGAUCGUGAAUAUAUGAUCUCUUGCUUUUGCAGUCCCUGAAAAACUCCCUGCACUUCAUAGUUGACACCGCUUCUGGUGACCAUCCGUUUGAUCCAUAUCUCUCUCUCCUUAAGGUUGGUGGUGUGAUGACACUGCUGGGCUUUCCAAGUGAGAUCAAAAUGCACCCCGCAAGCCUUCUUCUUGGUAAUUCUCUGUUUUGACACUGUACUGAAACAAACAUGGUAAUAGAAAUAAAUUAUUUGAAUUUAACCUGAACUGCUUUUUUAGGUGCGCGGGCCUUGUCUGGUAGUGUUGUUGGAGGUACAAAAGACAUCCAAGAAAUGGUUAACUUCUGUGCAGAGAACAAAAUCUAUCCAGAGAUCGAGAUCAUUAAGAUAGAUUACAUCAAUGAGGCUUUGGCAAGGCUUGUUAAUCGAGAUGUGAAAUACCGCUUUGUAAUUGACAUCGAGAACUCUUUCAAGUAGGAUGCGGGUUCACAUGCUCUCGUCUUUCUGUUGGUGUACAAGAGCAAUCACAAAUUUGAGUCAUAUAAAAUAAACUUGAUGUAAUGCUGCAGCGCAUUUACAAUUCUAGUCAUGUGUUAAUUUCAUUAUUGUAGUAUUUAUUCUCUCUCUCUCUCUCUCUCUCUCUCUCUCUCUCUCUCUCUUGGACUCAAUAAGACCAGCUGACAAUAGAGGUUGAAUAGAAAAUGAUACAAGAAACAGGGAAAAGGAGAGCUUUCACCCAAGCCGUUCCUUCUUGAAUGGAUGGCUUAGAUGCAAUGACUCCUUAUCUUGCAGUGGCAGCAGUGGCUGCAUAGGAUCUGUGUUUGUACCUGACGGUACUCGAGGUCGAGGGUACCUACUCGAUUCACAUUGAUUUGGUAUGGAAUCGAAUCUUGAUAGCACUAUUCACCAUAUUUUAAUUCGAAUACAAAAUGGAUAUCCCAAAUUUAUUUUCACAUUGGGAUAUCUACAAUAUUUUUAAGAUAGUGUUGAUAACACAUAUAAAUAAAUAUUUGUAUUAUACUCAAAUGUACAAAAAAUCAACAAAGCGUUAUAUAAAUGUUUCAAUACAUAUAAUAUUCAUCUAUAAUAAAAUAAAAUACUUAAAAUUAAGAUGAUUAGUCGUGUUAAAGUUAAGUAAACUUAACCUUUAUAGAUCAUUAAUUAUAUAAAAAUCAUCAUAAAUUAAACGUAACCUUUUUUAUUGGCCUAAUUAGUCAUAGAGAUAAAUUUAUAAAUAGUUUAAAUGAGUCGAUUAAAAUAAUUAUCAUUUACAAUGUCAACCAAUCAUAAAAGCUUUAGAUGGUACUUUCUUCAAAUACGGAUGAUGUUGAAUAUUUCAUAUUUUUUAACAAGAAUUUGAAAUCAAAUAGAGAAGAAACAUAUAAGGCCUUGUUUGGAUGUUAUCGGAUUCACUUCAAUUCAUAUGUGUUGGUGUGGAUUGGAGUGGAAUUUAGUUCAACUUUCACUCCAAUCCACCUCAACACAUGUGGAUUGAUAUGAACCCGACUACAUCCAAACAAGGUCUAAAGCGAAUUCAAAUACAUCCUUUUAGCAUCUAUAUUAAAUCGGAUGAAUACUCUAGACAUCCAGAUCUAUCUCUAACUAUCGAGCAAUGCGGGGUCUGCUUUGAGUCAAGGGUAUUCAACUGAAUAUCCAUUGUUUUUAUUAAACAAUUAGUGCUUAUAUUAUAUAUGUUGAACACUUUCAAGCUAUGAUCAGUUCUAUAAAUCUAUAUAUAAUGUUCAAUUAUAUGUUAAUUUUCUAUGUAUUAUACAAAUAAAGUUAGUACAAUAUGAAACACUAAACUUUAUGUUGUCAGAAAAAAGGUCUAUUAUCUUACUGUUUGGUCAAUCAAAAGAUGGUCCACGCUAACUCUCAAGGUCUAGAAAUUAUGAUAUUAUUUGAAGAAAAUAAAAUCAAAAUGUCAAUAUAGACAUCUAAUAAAUUAAGCACUACUAUCAAAAUGCAAAAAUUAGUCCAAAAUGCCCUCUUGCCCAUUAUGCUAUUACACGAUUGUACCAUUAUUAAGAAAAGCAUAAAACCAAUAAAAAAAAAGAAAGAAGAGUGAAAUGCGUUGUAGAUCCUUAAAAAAGAAAGAAGGACCGUCAACACAUUUCACUCAAGAAAGAAUAACAUAAAACCAACCAUGCACUAAAUUUAAGGUUGAAAACCAAAUGAUAUGAUAUAUGAUAAAAUACAAACAUUCAUGAGAUUUUUAAUAAAGAAUAAAGACAUACUCCCUCCACUCCCAAAUUAUAAAUCAUUUCAAGAAUCUUGUAGAGUCAAAGCAUUUUCAAGUUUGACAAAAAUUACAGAAAGAAAUACUAAAAUUUGUAACAUAAUAUGAGUAUACUGUGAAAAGAUAAUUAAGAAUGAAUCUAAUGAUACUUAGUUAGUAUCAUAAUAAUUAUUAUUUUAUCAUAUAAAUUUGGUUAAACUUAGGAUAGUUUGACUCUCUAAGGUUCUUGGAAUGACUUAUAAUUUGAAAUGGAAGGAGUAGUAAAUAAAGCAGAUGAUAUAUAAAAAAUGUCUUAUCCAUCGAUAGAUUUUAUAUAGUUAAAUCCGUCGGAUUUUUUAUAAAUACAACCGUCCCUCUGUUCCUGAAAGCUGUAACUUUUAAAGUUGUCCUAAGUCAAACUUUUAGAACUUUGACCAAAUUUAUUAAAAAACGUUAAGAUUUAUUGUACCAAAUUAAUAUCAUUAGAUUUAUCAUAGAAUAUAUUUUCAUAAGAUACUUAUUUUAUGUUAUAGAUAUUGCUGCUCUUUUCUAUAAAGUUGGUCAAAGUUAAAAAGGUUUAACUGCAUCGAUUCUAGGAGUUGAAGAUUUCAGAGAUAGAGGGAGGAGUAGAUAGUUGUAGCACAAAUCCUAAAACACAAUCAAAUAUAUACAAAUCUAACAUAUUUAGUACUAAAGAAAUCUAUCAACAGAUCAAUAGCAGAAGUCAUAUAAAAAUCAAAGAUCAGAGAAUAAUGAGCUACCUAUAUUAUGAGUUUUUUUACCGUGUUUGUUAUACUAAAAAAAUGUACAAGUACUACUAUUCCAAGGCACGGGUCUAAUUACAAGUUUUUUGUACCUUUAGAAUUCUGAAUAUACCGACGGUAGUAUUACUCGUAUGAUCCUCAUCCCAUAUUCCCAUUCCCAUUAACUGAAGGCUGAAGCUGAAGCCUGAAGGAAUGUUGGGGGAUGACCGCAUCCUUCCCCCUGGUAGCGUCUAAGGAUACCCUUUACCCGAGGAACCUCCGACUUCUGAAGCAUCGGAUGAUAUCCUUCAUCCAGAGAGCCUCUGUGGGAAUGCAUGCGGAGGACUCUGAAAAAAGACUGACGUUGAUGACUCGUCUCGUCAUGCUAAGUGUGUGCAGAGACUGACGUUGGCGGAGGCCCACAAGCGGAGAAAGGAGGAACCUCCGACCCUCCCAAGUCCGAGGAUGGCUAGGGACGCGACGGAGGCAAAGGACCUUCGACGCGUCCGGGCUAAGGAACCUCCGACGGAGAGGCGUCGAAGGAUCGGCGACCGAGCGGGCUGAGGAACCUCCAGGGCAACUGAGCCAGGGAACCUCCGACGUGCCUGAGCCGAGGAACCUCCGACAUAUGAGGUGUCGAAGGAUCUGCGAUCGGGCGGAGGAUCCGAGCCUCCGACCAGCUGAAGCCCUAGACAGGGGACCCGCGUGGGGUUUGUAAUGUGAAAUUACGCAGACAACUUAGGGCCAAUAGACUGUAAUAGGAGAAUAUGCCGAGAUAUUCCCCCACCGUCACGGGGCAUUUUUGUAAAUGUCAUUAGGUCGGUUUCUGAGCCCUAUAUAAGGGGCGUGAUGCCGUCAUUAACAAAGAGAGAGAGCAUUCAUUGUAUUCACCUACUGUUGAGCCCACUGUCCGUUACUGCUCAGCCUCUCACGGCACCGAGUGAGAAGGUUCUCGUUCAACCGUGUUGUUGGGGAGUGCGGUGAGCAUUUUCCCAACAUUGGCGCCCACCGUGGGGCUCGAAGGAUCACCUGCGAUGGCUGGAAAGAGAACAAGCACCACAAGACCUCGGGUAGAGCCCUCCAGGAGAGGAAGGCCGAGAAGGGCCGUGCGGAGCACGUAUGCGACCGUGGAGGGGGAAGGCUCUGAGUGCGAGCAGCCGGAGAACGAGCAGCCGGAGCCCGGCCAGGAACCUCCUCCCGCCGCAGGGCCGGCACAACCCACGGCCACGCAAGAGCUUCAGCUACUGCAGACGCAGCUACAGAACCUUCAGCAGGAGCGAGACCGAAUCGCUGCCGCCUACGCCACCAGCCAAGAGGCAGCAGUGGCUGCAGCGCAGGCGGCUGAGAACAGGCAGCAGCUUUCAAUCCUGCAGGCGGAGAUCCUUAGCAUGCAACCUCCACAGCCGACGAUCCAACCCACUGUUCAACCCAACGCCGGUCCGACAGUAAGUGCGCAGGUGACAAGCUACGGUGGCACGCUGAGGAGCACAUUGGACCUUCGUUCCCCCUUGUCCGAGGGAUUACAAACCUCACCUUGGCCGACAACCUACAAACCAAUCACGCUCCCCAAGUUCAAUGGAAAAGCUGACCCCCGCCAAUUCCUGAUGAGUUUCGAGGCAGCUGUAGCCUCAGCUGGAGGGAACGAAACUGUAAUAGCGAAAUCCUUUGUGAUCGCGGCCGAAGGAGAUGCCUUGGCAUGGUACUCGAUGCUCAGACCUGGGUCGAUCUAUUCAUGGGAGAACCUUCGAGACAAGAUUUUGGCAAAUUUCCAAGGGUUCGCUGUUGAAUCACUAACCUCCACGGACCUGUUCCAGUGUCGCCAGAGUCAAGGAGAAGCACUGCAGGAAUACUUUCAAAGGUUCGUGCAGACCAAGGCCAGAGCACCCGGCGUGCCGGAGGAGGUUGCCAUUGAGGCAGCUAUCAAAGGUCUUCGCAUAGGGCCUUUUGCAGCUCACUUGGCCAGAGAAAAGGCAGCAUCCAUGCACGAGCUGUACCAUGAGUUCGAGAAGUAUUGCAGGUCGGACAACGACUACCGCAAGAGGUUGGAGGACCAGAACUGUCAGAAGAAGCAGGGCAAUGACAGAAACUCGCAGAAAAAGAACCUUAGCGAGGAUGAACGCCGGACACAGCGAGAGACUGGUGGACAGAUGAUAAAUAUUGAGCAACCAAGGAAUGACAAGUCGGAACAUAACCGUCCAUCGACAGAACCGCAAAAUUCGGAGCGCGGCCCCAAUCAAGCCGGAGGAGGAGGUCGGAACACAGGAUGGCAAAAGAAUCAGAAGCAGCGGCCGCGGAAGCAAUAUUGUUUCUUUCAUGGAGAGGAAAAGGGUCAUUCCACUAGGGAUUGCCCGGAUGCAAAAGAAACUCAGGAGAGAAUCAAGAGCAGGUCAGCUCCACUACCUCCGCCACCGGUUGCUCAACCUCGGGAGGUGAAUCACACAUUCCCACAAACCUUCUACCAUUCGUAUGUCGGAGGAUCAAGCCAGCAGCACCCAGCUCCAAUUCAGCCCACCGCGCUAGCCUCCGCUUACUAUCCCAGCUUCCUACCAGCUUACAUUCCUCCAGCAACCUGCGGAUCACAACCUUCCACCAACCUACGUUCCUCCACGACCUCCACAGAUUACAUACAUCGAAACCCCACAGCCCCACCAGCAGUCACUACCUCCUCCCCCAAACCAGCUACAGCUACUCCAAGCUCCACCCCCACCAAAAACCGAACCCCACCCAGAUAAUCAGAUCGGCCCUCAUACACCGCUGCCUACGAUAGGAAUGAUCCUACCAAUAGCUGGAGGGUCCUCAAUGGAAUUCCAGACAAAGAAGCAGAAGAAGGAUCACCUCCGGCUCGUCAACAACUUCGCAGUUCAAGGGCCGGUCAGAUGCACUGAUUGGUCCAGAACCCCAAUAACCUUCACCGAGGAAGAUCUAAGGUUAGAAAGCUACCCACAUAUGGAUGCCAUGGUCAUAACAACGAAUGUUGCGGGUUGGGGAGUGAGGAGGAUCUUGAUAGAUUCAGGGAGUUCCACAGACAUAAUAUUUGCUGGAACCUUCGACCAAAUGAAGCUCAGCAGAAGCCAACUUCAACCUUCGGAAUCACCUUUGAUCGGAUUCGGAGGGAAGCAGAUACAUGCUCUAGGAAAGGUCGCCCUGCCCAUAUCCUUUGGCACAUCUGAGAAUGCGAGAACAGAGUAUGUUACCUUCGAUGUGGUAGACCUGCACUACCCAUACAACGCCAUAUUCGGGCGGGGGUUCUUGAACAAGUUUAAUGCGGCUACUCAUAUGAGAUACCUGUGCAUAAAAAUCCCGGCUCUGCACGGAGUGAUCACUGUUCACGGAAGUCAAAAGGUGGCAAGAAACAUAGAGAAAGCAAUCUACAAGUCUUUCCGGAACAUAAAUUCCGUGGACUCCACGCAACAAGAAGCUUCCCAGCCACCAGACAUGCCAAGGGGGAAGACAGACCUGGCCGAUCAGGAGGAAACAAAAUGUGUCCCUCUGCAGGAGGCCGUUCCAGAUAGGAAGGUCACCAUCUCCGCCACCCUCAGUAGAGAGGAGGAACUCGAGUUGCUGGACGUGUUGCAAAAGAACCAAGAUAUCUUCGCCUGGAGUGCCGCUGACCUGCAAGGAGUCAGCAGAGAUAUCAUAGAGCAUUCGCUGGACAUCGUUUCGAGAAUGAGGCCGAAGAAACAGAGAUAGAGGAAAAUGUCUGAAGAAAGAACCUUAGCCGUGAAGGCAGAGGUACAAAGACUUCUAGACGCGAAGGUCAUCAGAGAGGUCUUGUACCCGGAAUGGUUGGCGAAUGUGGUCCUGGUCCCAAAGAAGAAUGGUAAAAUGAGAAUGUGCAUAGAUUUCACAGAUCUCAACAAGGCUUGUGUCAAAGAUUCCUUCCCCUUGCCAAGGAUAGAUACCUCUGUUGACAAAGCCGCUGGUUGCCAGAGAUUUUCACUACUGGAUUGUUUCUCCGGAUACCACCAAAUUGGGCUCAAAAAGGAAGACGAGGGAAAGACAAGCUUCACAACCCCAUUCGGCACGUAUUGCAACAUCAGAAUGCCUGAAGGUCUCAAAAACGCUGGAGCAACCUUCUCCAGAAUGAUGGGGAAGGUUCUGGGAAGUCAACUGCAGAGAAACAUUAUAGCCUACGUCGACGAUGUUGUCGUCAUGAGCAAGCGCAAGGAGGAUCAUAUCAAGGACCUGCAGGAGACCUUUGUCAACCUCAGAUCUGCCGGACUGAAACUUAACCUGGAGAAAUGUGUAUUCAGGGUCAGCAAGGGAAAAAUGCUAGGAUAUAUUAUCAGCUCCGAAGGAAUCAGAGCUAACCCAGACAAGACAAAGGCAAUCAUGUCAAUGGCAGAACCUUCAAGCAAGAAAGAAGUGCAAAGGUUGACUGGCCGAAUAGCAGCCCUCAACAGAUUCAUUUCAAGAUCUGCAUAACGAAGCCUUCCAUUCUUCAAAGUGCUGAGAGGAGGAGGCAAAACAAAAUGGGGUCCGGAACAGUCAGAGGCCUUCAGGCAGCUCAAGAACUACAUUGCGACCAACCUGGUGGUAACUGUGUCCGAGCCAGACAUUCCACUACUGUUGUAUGUGGCUACCUCCGAGCACGCUGUCAGUGCUGUUCUGGUGCACGAGACAAGCGAUAGUAAGGGAACAGUGCAAAGACCCGUCUACUAUGUAUCCGAAGCUCUGUCAGGAGCAAAGUUGAACUACACGGAGAUAGAGAAAAUCGCGUACGCAGUCUUGUGCGCAUCAAGGAAGCUCAAGCAUUACUUCUAAAGCCAUGAGAUCAAAGUACCCACUUCACAGCCAUUGGGUGAUAUCCUUAGGAACAAGGAGGCCUCCGGACGUAUAGGAAAAUGGGCGGCUGAACUAUCACAGUUUGACAUCACCUAUGUCCCCAGAACCUCCAUCAAAUCUCAAGCCCUGGCUGACUUCAUGGCAGACUGGACACCUUCGAGCAAAGAAGAGGAGAAGGUAGUCAACCAGCUGUGGACACUAUACACAGAUGGCGCCUGGGGGCAGUCAGGGGCAGGAGCAGCAGCCGUUCUGAUCGCACCAUCCGGGCUCAAGCUAAAAUAUACCGCAAGACUCGAAUUCAAAGCAACAAACAACAUAGCUGAGUACGAAGGUCUCAUCCUCGGACUGAACAAAGCUAAGGCUUCAGGAGCAAAAACCCUGCUCAUCAAAAUAGACUCCCAGGUGGUGGCAGGACAAGUGGAGAAGGAAUACUUAGCACACAACCCCGAGCUGGCAAGAUAUCUGGCUGUUGUAAGGGGGCUGGAGAGAAGGUUCAAGGGGUUCACCCUGCAGUACAUUCCAAGAGGCGAGAAUUACGAGGCAGACGAACUAGCAAAAGCAGCAGCCAACAACACCCCCUUGCCAGAAGGAACCUUCUACCAAAUUGUUGCAGCACCCGCAACUGAAUCGUUGACGAAGGCUUUUCGCUCAGUCCUACUGACAGAAAGCGAGGAUUGGAGGCAGGCAAUAACUGACUCCCUCAAAGGCAAAACAACCGCAGAUGAUGAAGCAUUAACCAAGAGAAUGGAGGCAAGAGCAAGGAAUUACACCAUCAUUGACGGAAUCCUGUACAAGAAAGGUGUAGUCCAACCUUUGCUGAAAUGCAUAUCACGAACCGAGGGCAGUGAACUCCUGCAAGAGAUACACUCUAGGAUAUGCGGGUCUCACAUUGGACCUCGCGCAUUAUCCGCCAAAGCAUUAAGACAAGGCUUCUACUGGCCAACUCACAUCAAAGAUGCUGAAGAGAUAGUGAAGACAUGCAAAGCCUGCCAAACCUUCUCACCAAUUCAAACAGGACCUUCGGCACCAACUCAGCUCAUAUCAGCAUCAUGGCCAUUGCAAAGGUGGGGAAUGGACCUGGUAGGACCGAUGCCAACUGCCCAGGGGGGAAACAAGUUCGCCGUCGUGGCCAUCGAAUACUUCACAAGGUGGAUCGAAGCUAAGCCACUGGCAACCAUAACCCCUGAAACGAUCAAGAAAUUUUUCUGGCAGAACAUAGUCUGCAGAUUCGGAGUUCCAAGCUUGCUCACAGUUGACAACGGGAAGCAGUUUGAUUCGGACAGUUUCAAGGAAUUCUGCCACCACAUAGGAACCAAAAUUGCUUUCGCGUCUGUCUACCACCCAGAGUCAAACGGGGCCAUGGAGAGAGCAAAUAGAAUAAUAUUCUCCGCAAUUUCCAAGACCUUACUCAACCUACGGAAGGGGAAAUGGGUCGAUGAGCUACCCAGAGUUGUGUGGUCUCAUAACACAACAGUCUCAAGAGAACCUGGGUUCACCCCAUUCAAGCUCUUGUAUGGGGAAGAAGCAAUGUUGCUAGAAGAAAUCAAACACCAAAGCCUACGUUCAAUGAAGCAGCAAUUGGCUGAAGAUGAAGGGUACUGCAAGAAAACCUUAGAAUCAAUAAGACUCGAGGCAGUGGAGAACAUUACCAAGUAUCAACAAGAAACCAAAAAAUGGAGAGACCGCAAGGUAGUACGGAAAGACAUACGAGAUGGGGACCUGGUACUCAGGAAAAAAGGAGAUCACUCGAACACUGGUAAAUUGCAACCCAAGUGGGAAGGACCUUAUACAGCAAUACAAGCGGGAAGGUCGGGAUCCUUCUACCUAAAAGACCUCGAAGGUAGAACCUCCACCCACACGUGAAACGUCGACAAUCUAAGAAGAUUUUACAUUUGAGUGUAAGGAUGACCCCUGCAAAAUAAGCGGCGGCAUCCAUUUCUUUAGAUACAGUUAUUUUCUUUUUCUCUCUACUUCUUUUUGCAAUCCAAGGUCUGCACUCUUUUUCUCACAGGGGUACUCCUACUAGGAGGUGAGGUUUUUGACGAGGCAGAACCUAUGUAAAAACCUCUGAGAUAUAAAGAGGAAUCCACCCCAGAACCAAAGCCCAAAAGUCGAAAAACAGCCAGCAACGAGGCUGUAGCAUUCGACAAAACAUCACGUGAUCACAAGGACCCUCCGCAGCUUUCAGCCAAAAGCUAAGAAAGCUCGGAACGUCCUCAACGGUGGAAAAACACCACAUCCUUAGCAAAAGACCUGGCCAAGAGCCGGGCAGCAAGGAUAACAUGGUCAAAAGUGAAAAAGCCAUGUCCUCCUCAGGCAUCACAAAAUGGCCAGAAGGGACAAAACCCUCAAAACCUGACAAAGACCUGAAGACAAUCAGGCAUCAGGGGCUAUGCAACUUCUGCCAAAAGGCAGCAAAGGUUUCAUAUUUACAAGGUAAACCUCAAAAACAUUUACAAAACCUUCACCAAGAUAAGGUCGAAGGUAUCCUACUAAUCUAAGCAGGCCUCUAGGACACAUAGUGUGAAAACGAAGCAAAGCUACGACAAUCCUCAGUCAAGUAAAGCAGGACCAACUACUACAACAACCUCAACAACCAAUAAUAACCUAAUCGUAAAUCCCAACCUAACAAAGUACAUGCAAUAAAUGCAUGAAAAACAAUAAAACCAGGCACACCUCGCCCCCACCCUCAGUCAGGAUCAGUAUAGACAGCCCCAAGCAGCCAGUGCCAGCCUAGCAGUCACAAAGGAAGAAACCUAGGCCAUCAUGGAGGCAGGGGUUAGCCUCAUAGCAGUACCAAAAGUUGGUAUUGCACGAAGCUUCGUAAUGCUACAACCGCGGCGUUGUGAUGAACAUCGACCACAAAGUCGCGUACAGCCACAACAAAAGCACUGCAAGUUAGAAUCGGAAGUCUCUGAAGGGUAUCGCACGAAGUCUCGUAACAUCCCUUCAGAACCUACGACUCACAUACCCGAAGGUUACCCUCGACAACACUCCACGGGAGUUGAGCAAAGGCAUAUGUGAGCACAAUUCAACAGAGGCUCCUUCGCACCAAAAAAAACGAAGGCUCUAAGGUCAAGGAGCAGCAAUCCUGCGCAUGCGAAACGGCCACCAACGCCUUCGCAGCAUCAAACAUCAAGUAUGCACGCGCCACAGCAAGACAAAGAUCCUUAGGAUCCACACCACCGUGACGCUGCAAUGUAUAAUCGUUGUGUAAAAAAGCGCGAAGGUUGUAGUAGAAAUAUAACUAAGAGUGCGAAGACUGUAGCCAAAGUAAUGGUAAAAACAUCUGAUCUUUGUCAACUAUAAACAACUUACAGAACAAUAGUUUACAACCAAAAACGAAAAACAUCCUUCGACCGUAAAAAGUCGAAGGUUCUAAGACUCUCGCACAAUUUUUACAUAUGAAUCCGGCACAAGCCUAAACUCAUCGCAGUAAUCACGAGCAAGAAAAUCAACUAAUUCGUCAAUACUACGCGUAGGAAACUUAUGGCGCCACCAGUCAAUCAAAUAACCCCUCGCGUACAAAUCUCCGCGCUUGAACGUCACCGGGGUAACGUAGCUUUCUUCGACAAAAUCCGAAAGAAGAACAUCCCCUGGAGCAGAUCUGACAACCUGCGCAAAAAACAAACAAUUUCAAACCCCACCCAAGCGAAGGCUACAACUAAGACGUAUGACGAAGCUUCCGAACCUCAGGACGCCCAGGAAGAAAAGACUCAACCAAACCCUCAUGAUCCUCCGUCAACCAACAUAUACCAUCCUCCUCGCCAAAGAUGCGAAGGAUUGGAUACGACAACUGCAUAAACAUAUCAAACCAAGUCAUAAAAAACAAAUAUACCAAUAGCCUACGACGAAGGAAAAACAAAACAAAAACCACCACCUAAGCCGGAGGCCAUGAACCUCGGUACGCAAGCGACCGGACGAAUUCAGAUCGUUCGUCAUCAAGGUCAUACCCUAAAAACUCAAACAUGUCCACCACUCUCAUGUUAGGGAAAGCAAUCCGCCAAUAUUCCCACAACUCGCCAGAAACAUAAAUUCCUUUAUAGAAAAUUGAAAGCGGAGUCUCGCAAAGACCCUGCGUAGGUCCUCCGCCAGAGACCUGCGCAGGAUAAAAGCGUAAAGCAAAAAUUCAACCAAAAGACAUCUCCAUAUAUUACAUAUCCAACAAAAUAUUUACAAGUCAAGCCAAGACCUCCGGCCCUUACAAAAAAGCGUCGCAGGCGCAGCAAACGCAAAAAACGAAGAAAACCUACAAACUAAAAAACCUCACACCUGAGGUGGAAGAGGAGCAGAAGUCUCAGGCUGCUCUGAAGCCUUGGCACCAGAUUCCUCCGGAGCUUUGGCACCUGCUUCGUGAAUCUCUGCCUCAGCUUGGGUCGGAGGACAUGCUUCGCUAAAAGGGCGCGAGGGGCCAGGCUUGUCAGACUUAGCUUUCUUCUUGGCAAUCUCCUGCAAAACGACAAACUUAAGAGACACUGCAAAGUAGCAACACAGCACGCAAAACAAUAAUCAAAUCACACAUACCUCAGCGCGGCGAGCCUCCGCCAUCUUCUUCGCCUCAGCCCGCCCAAACCUAAUCCAGAACGAAGUGAUAAAGUUCCGGACUGAUUUACGCAGGCUCGAGGUGCCUUCGCCAACGUACCCCGCCGAUGCGAGUUCCUGCUUGGCAACCUCCUCCGCGUGAGAGCAACCUCCGCGGCGCAAAAGCCUAGCGAAGGAGCUAACCGUAGUCAAAGCCCCAAAAUCAACCGCUCCCCCGACAAAGUCAGGAAGCAUGCUGAUAUGAGACUUGAGCCAUGCAAGACUAGCCCCAACAUCACUGCUGGUCGGAGGAGAAGAGGUGCUACCGCCGAAUUGCGCCAGCGAGCCGGAGUAGAGCCCGAUCACAGCCGCAGCCUCUUCCUCCGCCUUCCGCAUGUGCUUUUGCACCACAGCAGUAGACGUCCGCUCGGCAUCAAGCUCCUCGCAGAGGCGGUCGGCAAUGCCCUCAGCCUUCUCGGCACGCUCCACAGCCAAGUCCUUCGCCUUGUCAAGCUGUGAAACGCUCUCGCGGAGGGUAGCGACCGAAGCUUCAACUUCUUCCUUCCCCUUCUUAAGAACCUCCGAUCCAGCCUUGAGCUCGUCCCUCUCCUUCCUUAGCGCCUCAAGCUCUUGUCGGACCAAAGAAAAUCCCCGGACCUCCUCCGACAGACGGACCUUCUCUGCCUCCAUGAUCUCGUUCUCCUUCUUCAAAGCACCAAUAGCUUCAUCAUGAUAGAUAACCUCUCGGGAGCAUCGCUCCUCCAAGGCCACAGCCAUGUGGUGACUCUACAAAAAGCAAAAAAGAAUCAAACCUCCAAUCACAAAACACAAAGGAAAAAUAAACAAUUUGAAAGCUUACAAGGCUAUGGUGCUCAAACUGCACGCGAAGGAAAGUAUCAAAGUCCAUAUGACGAAGCUUCUAACGAAGAUGAUCUAGAGAGCAAAAGAGGUAAGAAAAAACAUAAGAAAAUUUAAAAAUAUUAUCAGCAGCGGAGGCCAGAAACGAACCUCCGACCAAAGAAUGAAUCUCGCGCAGUGCGUCGGUCCAACCUGUGAUCGAAGGAUCAGAAGCACCUGCGCAAAAACAAAAGUAAAGUCAACACAAACCACAAGAAACCAAGUCAUUGAAACAACAAAAAACCAAAAAACGUCAGCAACUUACCAGGACCUAGAACAUUAGCAGGCGAAGGCCUACUAUCCAGCGCAGAGGGCGCAUGAUUCCGAGGCGGAGGAACUACAAGACCUUCCUGUGCUAUGCUGGCACCCUUAGCCAGUUCCUCCGCACUGGCUAACCCUGCGAUCACAUCCUCUAAAAAACAUAAAAAUAAUAUAAGACCGCGAUAAUCGAAGCACGCAGAAAGAUCAAAACCAACAACAAAUAAACGAACCUAUAUACAGCAAGUUGAUACCACCCACAGCAGGCCGCGGAGGAUCCUCCGCCCUCUUGAUCCUCCGAGCAGAGGCAGGCUCUGCAUCAUCACUAGAUUCCCCUGCAUCUCCUUCGGGGGAGAUCCUCCACCAGCAGGAACAUCCCGCGCAAGACUCUCCGCCAGCGCAGGAUUCGUCUCCCGCGCAGGACUCUCCCCAGGGGCCUCCGCGUCGGAAGAUUCCUCCCCAAGAAGCGACGCGAAAGGCGCCCGCACAGACGAGACCGCGCGGGAGGCUUGAACCUCAGGACCUCCACUAGCAGGAACGGCCUCCGCAGGAGCAGAAGCCACCAAGUUAGACUCGGCAGCAGAAGAGCGGGCGGAGGAAGACUCCACCGGAGCCUCCAGCACAACCUCCGCCUUGCGCUUCUUCGCAAGCUGCUUGACAGCACCACCACCCUUCCUCUUCUUAGCCUCCGCCGCAGCAACGGCCUUGGAGGAAUCCUUCUUCUUCUCCAAGCCAAGCAAAACAUCCGGAGGAACGAUGUAAUCAUCAUACUUAAUGCCCAACUCCUCGAAAACGCGAUUGAAACGCAGCAUAGUCCCAAGUGCAGACUUCCGCUGGAGAUAUUCCUUCUCCGAGAUCUUUCCAACUAUCCUCCAGGCAGAAACCUCCACACGGUCGAGGAAAGACUCCUCUGUCUCAUCCUCAGGCAAACCCACGUGAAACCAGGGAAAUGGCAGCCCCUCCGGAGGUCCAAAGACUCGCACUUGCACCAUUUCAAUGGUGAACUCGUCGGCCCUGCGGCCAAGGGGCCAAUAGUCGGCAGUGACCAUCUCCUCAACCAAAUCCCGACCUCCGGAGUGUCGGCAAGCCAGCGCAAAGGCCUUGUCGCAAGCCAGUCGUUCCUCCGACAUUGGCUGCGAAGGAUCAACCUUAGAGAAAGGCUUCAACUCCUUCAUCUGCGACACGUAAGGAUACACCUUAUCAACGCUACCGUCUUCCAGAGUCUUCGAUGCAGUGGGGGUCCUCACGUAGAACCAGGCCCUCGUCCAAUCCUUCUCCCACUUGCCCUUUUAGCAGUAGGAGAUCUCGCACCUUGGCCCAGGCAUUGUGCGGCGCGGCAUGAACGCGCAGCUUCCAAACUGCGCAAUGCAUUCAACUCCUUCGGCAUCCUUCACCUUUUUAGGCUGGCGCUGGAGCUCAAAAUAGGAGCAAAACGUAUCAAUGUGGGGCAUCGCUCCGUAGGAUUCGCAUGCCUACGCAAACUUGCUAAGCGUCAGAAUACCAUUGGGACUGAAAUGCUGUAGCUCAACAUUAAAACUCUCCAUCACUUCGCGAAGGAAAUGGUACGGAGGCAUCCGGAGCCCGCAGGUAAAGAAAUCCCUGAAAACCACUGCAUAUCCCUCUUCAGGCGCAGGCACCGUCUGACCCGCAGGAGGAGCCUUCGCACGACCCUCCUUGAAAAACCUAGCCAAAACCAUAUCAGCAAUGUCCUCCGUCCUAACAGUAGACUCACCAAACUCAAAAGUGAUUUCAGCCAUCUCCUCAAAUUCCUUCGCGCUGAUUAAAUCCCCAACGGAAGCUUCGACGUCAGACAACGACUCCUCCAGAUCUUGAGCUGCUGCCACCUCAAGCAUCCACUCCUCAAACCUCCGCAGCCAACCUCCGGACCUCACACUAAGUAAAUUGCGCAAAGGACCAGAAAAAUCUGACCUCGAAGGACGCGGCGGAGGAAGAUGAGCCACCUUAGAUCCUCCGACCACACUUGGAACUAAAAUCAACAAAAACGCACGCGAGAAGCUCAGAGAGCGAGAUGUGGCGAAGGAAGGUAUGCAAACAGCAGGCAGCAGGGGUGAGAGCCAAGAGCCCCUCCCCCACCCCCUUUUAUAAGGGGGGCCUGCGGCAACGUGACCGUUGCGAUUCUCCGCGCCCAACGGCUAUAAGCGGAGGAAUCGGCCUGACCGUUGCGAUUCCCCAAUGCCAACGGCUAUAAUAUCCUCCGCACUCUAACGCGCGAAGGAUAUCAGGCUAUCAGAACAACAAUGAUCGGAGGAUACUGGCAAAACAAACAAAACCAAGAAAAAUUAUGGCUAAGUAAAAGAAACAUUUUUCCAACACUGCUAACAAACACAUCCUGCGCACCAGGGGGGAAGGCAGCAACCAUGCUCGUAGCCUCCGCAGCGUGACAUGUUUUUGAGCACAUGGACCGCAGGAGUGCCAUUAGCCCAAAAAGGGGGGAACUGUUGGGGGAUGGCCGCAUCCUUCCCCUGGUAGCGUCUAAGGAUACCCUUUACCCGAGGAACCUCCAACUUCUGAAGCAUCGGAGGAUAUCCUUCACCCAGGGAGCCUCCGUGGGAAUGCAUGCAGAGGACCCUGAAAAAAGACUGACGUUGAUGACUCGUCUCGUCAUGCUAAGUGUGUGCAGAGACUGACGUUAGCGGAGGCCCACAAGCGGAGAAAGGAGGAACCUCCGACCCUCCCAAGUCCGAGGAUGGCUAGGGACGCGGCAGAGGCAAGGGACCUUCGACGCGUCCGGGCUAAGGAACCUCCGACGGAGAGGCGUCGAAGGAUCGGCGACCGAGCGGGCUGAGGAACCUCCAGGGCAACUGAGCCGGGGAACCUCCGACGCGCCUGAGCCGAGGAACCUCCGACAUAUGAGGUGUCGAAGGAUCUGCGAUCGGGCGAAGGAUCCGAGCCUCCGACCAGCUGAAGCCCUAGACAGGGGACCCGCGUGGGGUUUGUAAUGUGAAAUUACGCAGACGACUUAGGGCCAGUAGACUGUAAUAGGAGAAUAUGCCGAGAUAUUCCUCCACAGUCACGGGGCAUUUUUGUAAAUGUCAUUAGGUCGGUUUCUGAGCCCUAUAUAAGAGGCGUGAUGCCGUCAUUAACAAAGAGAGAGAGAGAGCGCAUUCAUUGUAUUCACCUACUGUUGAGCCCACUGUCUGUUACUGCUCAGCGUCUCACGGCACCGAGUGAGAAGGUUCUUGUUCAACCGUGUUGCUGGGAGUACGGUGAGCAUUUUCGAAGAAAGGGAAAGGGGACUGACGCAUGCGCUGAUGGUUCGGCCAGGCACAAUCAGCGAUGAACUCAUGGCUGGCGAGAAGCCCCGUAAGCUUGAUCCGCGACGUCACUGCUGUCGGCACCCUCUCCAAUCCAAUCCAUCCACCGGUCAACGGAGCAGGAUCCCGUCUGCGCCUUUCCAACUCCUUCCCCAUUUGUAAUUUGCUCACUCGCCGGCGGCCGCUACCUGCAACCCGGCGACACCCGACCGACAGCCUGCUCGCCACGCUUGCAUCGAGGAGAGUUCGGGGAGCGGCCGGUGCGGACGGAAUCGACGCAGGGGUCAGUCUUUUCCCCUCCCCUCCCCUGUAUUGCCCGCCUCGAUUCGACUCCAAGGGUCAACGAUUUUCAUUCUGCAGUUCAGUUCGAAUGGCCGCUGAAUCAGAGAACGGCAACUGCAAUGCAUGGGCAGCGAGAGAUCCUUCCGGAGUUCUCUCACCAUACACGUUUAACCGCAGGUGGCUUCCCCUCUCCUGAGUCCUGAUUUGGUGAAAAGUUGCAUCAUUUUUUAUCACUCUGAAUACUGUCUUCUUGCUUUGCUAGACGCCUAGACCAAUUUCUUUGGGAUAUUUAUGGAUUGUUUCCAUGCCUUUUUAUGUAUGUUAUGUUUGGUUUUCAGUGUUUUUCAUACCUGUUUUCAAUUGAGAGUAUGUAGCGUGGAACAAGUGGUGCAGCUAUUUCUGCUCGUUGUCUGUCAAACAAAAUCAUGGCAUUGAUGCUUACUGCGGGGCAUUGGGUGAACAUUUCAGGUCUGGUGGGAAGGAUUGCAGAAAUUUGAGUGCAAAUAGCAACAUGCUUGUCUUUUUCUUUUUCAGCUGGUUUAUUGGUUUCAUUUUCAUAACGUCUUCUUAUGAGAGCUACUAUAUGUGUAAUAAUUUUCAGAGCAGUGCAAAGCAGCGAUGUUGCGCUGAAGAUCAUAUACUGUGGAGUCUGUUAUGCUGACGUUAAAUGGACACGGAAUAUGCAGCAUGAUUCAAAAUAUCCUCUGGUUCCAGGGUAAGCGUUUUCAGAUCAAUACACUGGACCCCUCAGAGGAAACAAAACAUCAUAGUCAGGAGUGCCGAUUAAGUGUCCAAAAACGGUGCCUGCACUAUACUUCUAUAUAUAUUUGUCAAUGAUAAUAUGAUAUUGAUUUGUGCAGGCAUGAGAUAGCUGGAGUUGUAACUCAGGUUGGUGCAGAUGUCAAAGGCUUUAAAGUGGGUGACCAUGUAGGUGUUGGAACAUAUGUGAACUCAUGCCGAGAUUGUGAGAACUGCAAUCUCUCUCUAGAAAACCACUGCCCAAAAGGAGUUUAUACUUUCAAUGGCAUCGACGCAGAUGGAACUGUCACAAAGGGGGGUUACUCCACUCACAUUGUAGUCCAUGAAAGGUAUGGCAGCACCGUUUUAAUUGGCCAUUCAAAUGAGAUUUUUUUUUAUAUUGAUAAAGAACUAGUUUUAGAGAUGAAAAUAGGUUCCAUUGUAUUUUGUUCCACUGUAAUUUCAUUUGCCUAUUUGAUUUGAUCACAUUGUGUCCUAUUCAAGAUGCUAUGUAGUUUCUUAUGAGAGUGCGUAAAAUUUGGGCCCUUGUUGUCCUUUCAUCAAAAUGAAUACAUCAUGAAAGAAUAAUAUAUAUAUGUCCAUAUAAGUCACUAUUGACACCAUGAUGCUGGUUCAAUACAACUUCUCAGAUAAGGAAUCACAUUUUCUGUUGAUUAACGUGAACUUUAGGUAUUGCUUCCAAAUACCCGAUGGCUACCCUUUGGCAAAGGCAGCACCUCUUCUGUGUGCUGGAAUAACUGUGUAUACUCCAAUGAUGCGACACAACAUGUACCAACCUGGGAAGUCACUUGGGGUCAUUGGACUUGGUGGUCUGGGUCACAUGGCUGUGAAAUUUGGUAAAGCAUUUGGUCUUAAGGUCACAGUUUUGAGUACAAGUGAAUCAAAGAGAGAUGAAGCCAUCACCCUCCUUGGAGCAGAUAAUUUUGUUAUAUCAUCAGACACACAACAGAUGGAGGUACUGCCCUGCACAUUGCAUAAUUUCAACGUACCUAGACGCCUAGUACUUGAUGUCAGACGUUUUACUUUUGUCCUAAGUUAAAAUUCUCUAUUGUUGACAAAGUUAAUAGAAAAAUGCAGUAGUAUCUAUAACACCAAAUUUGUUUCAUUAAAUCUACCGUGAAAUGUGUCUUGAUGGUUCAUUUAUUUGGCAAUUAUAGAUGUUAAUAUAUUUUUCUAUAAUCUUGAUCAACACUAGAGAAAAUUGACUUCAGAUAAAACUAAAACAUCUUGCAUUUUGAAAUGGAGGGAAUAUACCCCGUUUGCCUUCUUGAUAAUAUGACUCCAACUUUUGGUGGGGUUCUUUUUAUUUCUUCAUUGUAUUGCCAAAGAUACAAGCACAUCACAUUAUUUUUUGCAAGGAAAGAACAGAUAGCAGAUCACUAUCUUUCUCAUUGUUUUGCUAUUUGACUUCAAAGUUCCAGGCAGCCAAUUCUGUAUAUGACCAUGGAUAGUUUUCUUAUGUUGAGAAUCAAGAUAACAGCUUUGUAAUGUCUGUUCUGCUUUACCAGAAAACUGAUUGUGCAUAUAUGAUCUCUUGCUUUUGCAGUCCCUGAAAAACUCCCUGCACUUCAUAGUUGACACCGCUUCUGGUGACCAUCCAUUUGAUCCAUAUCUCUCUCUCCUUAAGGUUGGUGGUGUGAUGGCAAUAGUGGGUUUUCCAAGUGAGAUAAAAAUGCAUCCUGCAAGCCUUAAUCUUGGUAAUCCUCUGUUCCGACACUACUAAAAAAAGGCGUGGUAACAGAAAUAAAUUAUUUAAAUUUAACCUGAACUGCCUUUUUUAGGUGCGCGGACCUUGUCUGGUAGUCUUGUUGGAGGUACAAAAGACAUCCAAGAAAUGGUUAACUUCUGUGCAGAGAACAAAAUCUAUCCGGAGAUCGAGAUCAUUAAGAUAGAUUACAUCAAUGAGGCUUUGGCAAGGCUUGUGAAUCGAGAUGUGAAAUACCGCUUUGUAAUUGACAUCGAGAACUCUUUCAAGUAGCAUGCUGGUUCACAUGCUCUCAUCUUUCUGUUAGUGUACAGGAGCAAUCGCAAAUCAGAGGCAUGUCAAAUAAACUUGAUGUAAUGCUGCAGCACAUUUACAAUUCUAGUCUGUGUUAAUUUCAUUAUCGUAGUAUUUAUCCCCACUUUCUUUUCUGUUUUUUUUUACUCAGUAAGACCGGCUGACAAUAGAGGUUGAAUAUAAAAUGAUACAAGAAAUAGGGAAAAGGAGAGCUUUCACCCAAGCUGUUCCUUCUCGAAUGGAUGGCUUUAGAUGCAAUGCCUGCUUAUCUUGCAGUAGCAGCAGUGACUGAUGUCGAGGCUACCUAUCCCGAUAGGGCUCGAUUCACAUUGGUUUGGUAUGGAAUUGAAUCUUGAUAGCACUAUUCACCAUAUUUUAGUUUGGAUCCGAAUAAAGAUACAAAAUGGAUAUCCCAAAUUUAUUUUCACAUUGGGAUAUCUACUAUAUUUUUAAGAUACUGUAGAUAACACAUAUAAACAAACAUCUGUAUUAUAAUCAAAUGUACAAAAAAUGAACAAAGGGUUAGAAAAAUGUUUCAAUACAUAUUAUUUCAUCUAUAAUAAAAUAAAAUACUUAAAAUUAAGAUGUUUUGUUGUGUUAAAGUUAAUUAAACUUAACCUUUAUGUACCAUUAAUAAUAUUUUAAAAUUAUCAUAAAUUAAACUUAACCUUUAUGAUUGGCCUAAUUAGUCAUAGAGAUAACUUUUAUAAAUAGUUUAAAUGAGUUGAUUAAAAUAAUUAUCAUUUACAAUCAACCAAUCAUAAAUAUAAGUUUUAGAUGGUACUUUGUUCUUCACAUACGGAUGUGUUGAAUAUUUCAUAUUUUUUGAACAAGAAUUUGAAAUCGGAUAGAGAACAUAUAAAGAGAAUUCGAAUAUAUCCUUUUAGCAUCCAAAUUAAAUUGGAUGAAUACUUUAGACAUCCAGAUCUAUCUCUAACUAUUGGGCUACAAUGCGGGGUCUACUUUGAGUCAAGGGUAUUCAAUUGAAUAUCCAUUGUUUUUAUUAAACAAUUAGUGCUUAUAUUAUAUAUGUUGAACACUUUCAAGUUAUGAUCAGAUCUAUUAGACUCCACAUGACAAACUCUAUGAAAUAGAUAUAUAAUAUGACAUGCUUUAGUUUAAUUUUUUUUGCCGUAUAGAUCUUUAUAAAACUACGUGUUUCUGUGUUUAAUUCACAAUUGCACCUCCUGUGUUUCAGUUGUGGUGAAAUGUUGAUGGUAAAAUAUUCAUUGUAUGCUUGAGCCAUGGUAAAAAUUUCAACUUUAGUGUAGCAUGUAUGACUAAGUUAUUGAUUUAAUGCUUGUUUAAUAGCUAAUGACUAGUUGAAACAUGCCCAUUAUUAUCUGGUGGUGUACCAAACAUUAAUUUGAAGCUGUGAUUUUGAUGGAUGAUAGAUGAUAACAAAUCAUAGCUACUAUCAACAGCCUACAUGCUCAGAAUUAGUAGAUUAAUUACUUCAAUAAAAACAAAUUUUAAUUGCAAGAAAGCAUGUGAUACAAAGAUAAAUCUAAAGAUCAACAUUUUCCGUAACAACUUGGUGAUGUUUAGUGUUCACAAUGCAUAACAACAUGGCAAUGGAACUAGAUUUCCAUUUUUACACCUUUUUAACUAUUUACUCAAUCAAUCCUAAAUUAUAAGACGUUUGACUUUCUUUGACACCAGGUUUGACGGCUUGUCUUAUACAAUUUUAUGUGCAAAAUGUCAUUUUUUUGUUGUGUCUUAGUUUAUUAAUAAAAGUUUUCAAGAAUGACCUAAAUUUGACUAUUUUUGCACAAUUUUUUUUGAAUAAAAUGAGUGGUCAAACUUAGGGUCAAAAAAAGUCAAACGUCUUAUAAUUUGGGAUGGAGUAUUAAACAUGCAUAAACCUAGGUAAAUUAAUAUUUCAAUCAUACAUGGUCCAAUGAGUCUUAAUUUUUUAGCAUAGCUAAAGCAUACAAUUAGUAGCCUACCAUAAAAGUUUUACCACAAUCAAAGCACAAAGAGCUACAAUUAUGAAUUAAACACAAAAACACAUAUAUCUACAGCUACAACAAAAAUGUUAAACUAAAGCAUGUCAUAUUAUAUAUCUAUUAUAUAGAGCUUGUCAUGUGGAGUCUAACAAAACUGAAUUUUCGUUUUUACAAAUUUUCUAUGAUUUUAUAGAAUUUUUUUAAAGUUUUAGUCAGUUUAUGAAAUAAAAAAGAGCAUGUGGGCCACAUCAGCAACCACAUUGGCAGGAGAGUCCUUCGUGAUUGGAUGGUGGCUAGGUUCUAGACAAAGUUUAUGGAUCUAGAUGAGCGAAAAAAGUUUAUGGACAUAUGUGAGAAGUGGAGAAAAGUUUAAGAACCCUCAACACAUUUGACUCAAGAAAGAAUAACAUAAAACCAACCACACACUAAAUUUAAGGUUGAAAUCCAAAUGAUAUGAUAUAUGAUGAAAUACAAACAUUCAUGAGAUUUUUAUAAAAGAAUAAAGACAUAGUAAAUAAAGCAAAGAAUAUAUAAAAAAUAAGUAUAUAGUUAUCUGUUGACAAAUUUUAUAUAGUAUAUUUUAUAAAUACGAACUAGUAGAUAGUUCUAGCCAAUCCUAAAACAUAAUCAAACACAUAGAAAUCUAACAUAUUUAAGGGGUGUUUGGUUGGAGGUGUUAAAGUUUAAUAUGUAUUAUAACAUUUUCGUUUUAUUUGACAAUUAGUGUCUAAUCAUUGACUAACUAGGCUUAAAAGAUUUGUCUGGCAAAUUACUUUCUAGUUAUGUUUUUAGUUUCAUAAAUAAUCUAUAUUUAGUACUUUAUGCAUAUGUCCAAACAUUCGAUGUGACGAGAGUUAAAGUUUAACUAUGGAAACCAAGGCCCUUACUAAAGAAAUCUGUUAACAGAUCAAUAACAGAAGUCAUAUAAAAAUCAAAUAUCAGAAAAUAAUGAUCUAUCUAUAUUAUGAAAAAAACAAGCGUUCAUGAGUUUGAGUUUUUUUUACCGUGUUUGUUAUUUACUAAAAGAAAACUACAAGUACUUUUAUCUGUUCUAUUUACAAGGCACGGGUCUAAUUAUAAGUUUCUUUUACCUUUGAAAUUCUUAAUAUUCCGACGGUAGUAUUAGUCGUAUGAUACAAUACUCCCAUUCGGCCAUUCCAUUAGCUGAGGCCUUGUUUAGUUCCUAAAAAGUUUUGCCAAAUUUUCAGAUUUUUCGUCACAUCAAAUUUUACGGCAUAUGCAUGAAACAUUAAAUAUAGAUAAAAAGAAUAACUAAUUACAUAGUUUAACUGUAAUUUGUGAGACGAAUUUUUAAAAUCUAAUUAAUCUAUAAUUAAAUAAUAUUUGUCAAAUACAAACGUGGUAUAAUGCCUAUUUUACUAAUUUUUUUGAAACUACUUCCUCCGUCCCAUAAAUAAUUGCAUUUCUUUAACUUCUAUAGUUUAUGUUUGACCGUUCGUCUUAUUAAAAAAUUUUUAAUAAAUAUUAUUUAUUUUUUCAUGACUUAUUUUAUUGUUAGAUAUAUUUUUUAUGAUAAUUUAUUUAUUUUAUUAUUUGUACAAAAAUUUAAAUAAAAUAAAUGGUCAAACAUUACUAUUAGCAGUCGAAGAAAUGCAUUUAUUUAUGGGACGAAGAGAGUAAACAAGGCCUGAAGCUGAAGCCUGAAGGAAGAAAGGGAAAGGGGAUUGACGCAUGCACUGAUGGUUCGGCCAGGCACAAUCAGCGAUGAACUCAUGGCUGACGAGAAGCCCCGUAACUCCGGAAGCCAGGUCCGCGACGUCACUGCUGUCGGCACCCUCUCCAAUCCAAUCCAUCCACCCGUCAACGGAGCAUGAUCCGGUCUGCGCCCUUCCAACUUCUUCCCCAUUAUAAUUUGCUCACUCGCCGGCGGCCGCUACCUGCUGCAACCCGGCGACACCCGACCGACAGCCUGCUUGCCACGCUUGCAUCGAGGAGAGUUCGGGGACCGCCCGGUGCAGAAGGAAUCGACGCAGGGGUGAGUCUUUUCCCCUCCCCUCCCAUGUACUUCCCGCCUCGAUUCGACUCCAAGGGUCAGCGAUUUCACUGCGCUUUUCCUUAGCAUAGGCUAUCUGAAAUUUCCUUCUGUUAGAGCCGAGUCUUUCGAUCUGCUGACUUGUCACGAAUUCAUUCUGCAGUUCAGUUCGAAUGGCUGCUGAAUCAGAGCACGGCAACUGCAAUGCUUGGGCAGCGAGAGAUCCUUCUGGAGUUCUCUCACCAUACAGCUUUAACCGCAGGUGGCUUCCCACCCCCCCCCACCCCCCCCCCCCCCCCCCCCCGCGUCUCCUGAUCUGGAGAAAAGUUGCGUCAUGUUUAGCACUCUGAAUACUGUAUUCUUGCUAUGCUAGACUGUUUCUUUGGGAUAGCUAUGGACCGUAUUGUUUCCAUGUCUUUCUGUGUACACGCUAUAUGUUUGGUUUUCAGUGUGUUUCAUACCUGUUAUCAAAUGAGCAAUAUCUUGGUGUGGAGCAAGUAGUGCAGCUAUUUCUGCUCGUGGUCUGUCAAACAAAAUCAUGAAAUUGAUGCUUACUAUGGGCAUUGGGUGAACAUUUUAGGUCUGAUGGGAUUGCAGAAUUUUGUUCAACGUUGGCAGGAUCUGCCUUUUAUUAUUAAAAAAAUAAGGGAAGCGACCUAAGUCAACAACUAUACAGAUUGAUUGCAGAAAUUUGAGUACAAAUAGCAACGUACUUGUCUUUUUGUUCAGCUAGCUUGUCUGUUUCAUUUUUUAUAACGUCUUCUUAUGAGAGCUACUAUGUGUAAUAAUUUUCAGACCAGUGCAAAGCAGCGAUGUUGCGUUGAAGAUCUUAUACUGUGGAGUCUGUUAUGCUGACGUUGUCUGGACACGGAAUAUGCACCAUGAUUCAAAAUAUCCUGUGGUUCCUGGGUAAGCGUCUGACAACAAUUUAGACUUGUAUCAGGGAAGGGCAUGUUUCUUAUCAAUCGCGAAUUGCAUUUCAAGAUCCAACUCUGAAUUGACCAGGACUAGUAGUUUUACUAGGUGUUCUAAUCUAAGGGGCAGAAUAUGACUAAUAGUUACAGACUAACAGCCCAGAUCAAUACAUUGAACCCCUCUAGAGCAAACAAAACAUCAUAGUCAGGAGUAUCGAUUAAGUGUUUGCCCAUUGUCCAAAAAUGAUGUCUGUGUACUAUAUAUUUGUCAAUGAUAUUAUUCAUUGGUGCAGGCAUGAGAUAGCUGGAGUCGUAACUCAGGUUGGUGCAGAUGUCAAAGGCUUUAAAGUGGGUGACCAUGUAGGUGUUGGAACUUAUGUGAACUCAUGCCGAGAUUGUGAGAACUGCAAUAGCUCUCUAGAGAACCACUGUCCAAAAGGAGUUUAUACUUUCAAUGGCAUUGAUACAGAUGGAACUGUCACAAAGGGGGGUUACUCCACUCACAUUGUAGUCCAUGAAAGGUAUGGCAGUACUGUUUUACUUGGCUGUUCAAACAAGACUCUUUUUAUAUUGACAAAAGCUAUUUUAGGGAUGAAAACAGGUUCCACUGUGAUUUCAUUUGCCUAUUUAAUCACACUGUGUCGUGUUCAAGAUGUUAUAUACUUCUGUAUGAAAGUAAACUCUGGGUCAUUGCUGUCCAUAAAUUUUCAUCACAAUCAAUACAUGAUCAAAGAAUUAUAUAUGGGUCUAUAUAAGUCAUUAUUGACACCUUGAUGCUGAUUCGAUACAACCUGUCAGAUAAGGGAUGGCAUCUUCUGUUGAUUAAUUUGAACUUUAGGUAUUGCUUCCAAAUACCUGAUGGCUAUCCUUUGGCGAAGGCAGCACCUCUUCUGUGUGCUGGAAUAACUGUGUAUACUCCAAUGAUGCGACACAACAUGAACCAACCUGGAAAGUCACUUGGGGUCAUUGGACUCGGUGGUCUAGGUCACAUGGCAGUGAAAUUUGGUAAAGCAUUUGGUCUGAAGGUCACAGUUUUGAGUACAAGUGAAUCAAAGAGACAUGAAGCCAUCAGCCUCCUUGGAGCGGAUAAUUUUGUUAUAUCAUCAGAUACACAGCAGAUGGAGGUACUGCUCUGGACAUUGCGUAAUCUGAACGUACCUAGGCACCUCGUACUUCAUCUGUUCCGAAUAUGAGAAAUUUUAUUUUUGUCCUAAGUCAAAAAACUCUAUAAUUGACCUAGUUUAUAGAAAAAAGCACUAGUAUCUACAAGACCAAAUUUAUUCCAUUGAAUCUCCUGUAGAAUGUGUUUGGUAUUGUAGAUGUCAAUAUAUUUUUCUAUAAACUUAGUCAAAGCUAGACAAAAUUGACUUAGGAUAAAACUAAAACAUCUUACAUUUGAAAGGGAGAGAAUAUACCACGUUUCCCUUCUUGAUUAUAUGACACCAUAUUUUGGUGGGGUUCUUUUUGUUUCUUUAUUUUAUUGCCAAAGAUGCAAGCACAUCACAUUGUUUUCACAUGGAACGAACAGAUAGCAGAUCACUUUCGUUCUCAUUAAUUUGCUACUUGACUUUAAAGUUCCAGGCAGCCAGUUCAGUAUAUGACAUUGGAUAGUUUUCUUAUGCUGAGAAUAAAGAUAACAGCUAAGUACUGGCUGUUCUGCUUUACCUGAAAACUGACCGUGAAUAUAUGAUCUCUUGCUUUUGCAGUCCCUGAGAAACUCCCUGCACUUCAUAGUUGACACCGCUUCUGGCGACCAUCCAUUUGAUCCAUAUCUCUCUCUCCUUAUGGUUGGUGGUGUGAUGGCAAUUGUGGGCUUUCCAAGUGAGAUCAAAAUGCAUCCUGCAAGCCUUAAUCUUGGUAAUUCUCUGUUCUGACACUCUGUACUAAAAAGAAACGUGGUAUUAGAAGCCAAAUUAUUCAGAUUUAACCUGAACUGUUUUUUAGGUGCACGGACCUUGUCUGGUAGUGUUACUGGAGGUACAAAAGACAUCCAAGAAAUGGUUAACUUCUGUGCGGCGAACAAAAUCUCUCCAGAGAUUGAGAUCAUUAAGAUAGAUUAUAUCAAUGAGGCUCUCACGAGGCUUGUUAACCGAGAUGUGAAAUACCGCUUUGUUAUCGACAUCGAGAACUCUUUCAAGUAACAUGCUGGUCUACAUGCUCUCAGUCUUUCUAUUAAUAUACUAGAGCAAACACAAAUGUGAAAGUCAUGUCAAAUAAACUUGAUGUAAUGCUGCAGCGGUUUUACGAUGCUAGUUAAUUAAAACCCUGUGGCAUGGGCGUCAAAUAGCAAAUGUAAACAUCCAUAGUUGGACAGCAAGGGGAGAUAAGUAUAUUGUGACGAUAAAGUCGCUCUAUGAAUAAGGCAUCAUGUCGAUGUGUUCCACAAUAUUUCCUAGUGCAUGUAUGGCGGUGGUCAGUACCAUCACUUUCACAUCCGGUUGAAUACAUGCCAAUUGGAGAAAAAAAAUUGGAUGGAUACUAUCUCCACCGUACUCCAUUGCAUACCACCCUCGAUCUGCUGCCAAUCUCAUGGAUCCAGUAACACUCAUCAGCCUGCUUUUCGUGGGCGUACAUGGGCCAGGUCAAUCAUGGAUCAGUACAGGUGGACGAAGAAAAAUCAAGAGCGUUUGAUUAUUUAGACAGGACACGUGGUGGUAGAUCAAGGGCAAUAUGCACUGAAACACGGUGGAUACAAUAUCCAUCCAUUUUUUUUUCCAUCAAUCGACGUUUCUGGUUAACCAGUUCACUGUUAGAAACCUGUAUCAUGGUUGGGCUACUUAGUUGGCAAGUGGCUUGCUAAACCUGUCUCGGCUUGGCCCAGUCUAGUUCAAUCCUGUUCAUUGGCUAACCAAGGCAAUGAACAUUUAUACAGUUAUCUUGGUCAUUGUUCAAGACCAUGGAUUGCUCUUUCUAUUUGUUUCGAAAACUUGUAAUAAUUGGCUGUGUACAUCUCUGGAUGUAGAGGCCGGAUAUUUAUAUCUAUUAUCUAAAAAAUAUUUUUAGCCUUGUUAAAAACCAUAUCAUUUCUCUUCGACCAUAAUGCCCAACAAAGUGGAGCUGCUCUUAGCAAGAUUUGGUUUUGAGCUUAAAAUUUAAUUAAAAAGCCAAGAACCAAACAAAAUUAGCAAAGCUAGUAGGAGGUUGAAUUCCAAAAGUGAUGCACAAUAUUCUAAACAAAGCUCGUGAAGUGACAAUCAAAGAACAAAUGUUGGAUAGUUUCAACGGAUCUUUUUUUUUGCGAAGAGAAGAGGGGUUAUAUUAAAACUCGGCAUAGUACAUCCCCAAAUUACACAUAAAAUAUUUGAAAAAAUACAUAAUGUUCUAUCCAAAUUCUUCUAUUGUCAUCUUCUCCAAUGGCUUCCCUCAAAUGCCAGAGCCAAAGUACUCCCUACGUCCUAAUACAUAAGGCGUAACUACGUUCGUGUCCCAUAAUAUAAGGCGUGUCUUCUCACAGACAUUAAUACGAUAAUACCAGUGUGGAGAGAGAGAGAAUUAAAUGCGUUCUUGGUCUUUAAACCAGAGGUGGUUACGUCUUAUAUACUAGGACAGAGGGAGUACUGUCCUUAUGCAGAAUUCAACGACCAACUCUAAAACAUUGGACAUGCCACAAGAUCCAACGCUUCAGAACUGGUCCAAAACUUAUCUGAAUCGAUGAAAGAAUAUUGGUAGUUGCAUCAUUGGGUAGAACAUAGGAGGUAGAUUUAUCACCUCCGUGACCAUUGACGAUGAGAUCGAUGAUCCGGAGUAGCUGUCCUCAUUGGGAGUGCCUAGAAGCACCUCUCCUCUUGCAGAAAAGGCCAUUGAUUGGCUAUUUGCCGACGAAAUCGGCGUCUGCAAUGGUGAUCUCAUCGUGGCAAUCACCAAAGUCAUCGUAGGAAUCACGAUCCCAAUCGAAAAUCAUAUGAUUUUGUCGAAAGAUUUAUCAGACUAAAUCCUAAGAUCUAGAUAUAAAACUACAGGAAAAAGAAUAGAACUCCUCUUCUUGUCCCUGACAGACGCACUGGAGAGGAAGAAUUAUAGGAGUCCUGAGCGCAGCGACAGCAAGGAUCUGGGAUUCGCCAUGAAUGGGCCAAACUUUGGUGAGAUUGGCCCAAUUUUGGUAGGGCCGGAGAGGAAUAUAAACCGGCCAAAAAAAUUCGGUCCAAUAUAAACGUGAACCAAAGUUAUCUCCCACGGCUAUUAAACGUGAACCUCAUCCUAAAAACCCUAAUCAUUUAAUUUCUUCCUCUCCCUGGGUGGCUGGCCGCCGGCCGCCAGUGGCAAAGCUCCUUAGAUGUUGAAGCGAUGCACUCGUCCAUCUCCCUCAUCCCGUCCCCUCCUUUGGUUUUCCAUUGCUCAACUUUAUUCUUGAUGAGUCCCAUGGUCAGGAGUAGGGAUGAAAACGGUACGGAUAUUUUCCGACCGUAUUCGGAACCGAAUUCGUUUAGAGAGGUAUAGAUCUGUCCGUAUCCGAGUCCGAAUGUUUAACAUCCGAUACCGUAUCCGUAUCCGAAUACUAAAAUCGUAUAUUUAUGAUGUCGACAUCGAAUCAUAUCUUAUCCGAUAUGAUUGACACUAUCUGUAUUCGAAUCCGAAUCCGACCAGAAAUAUGAAAACAAAUAUGAUAUCGGUGAUAUCCGUCCGUAUCCGAUCCGUUUUCAUCCCUAGUCAGGAGGUACAACACACUCAAGUUAGUGCCGACCAUGUACGCAACAGUAGCUUGGUCGGCACCACGAUGACGUCGGUCACCGGCACCGGUGGUUAAUGGCUCAAGGCAUCAAUGACAUCACUCAGUGUGGGAUGCACAAUCCACCAACCAUAGAUGCAUUGGCAAGGGCUGUAGUACCAUUGUUUUCAAUUUCUGUCAAAAUUUGGCCAAAUUACGAAAUUUUUGACUGGUCAAACAAGUGAAUCCCGGUCCGAAUUUUUUAAAAUUUGUCCAAUUCGGCAGGCACCAAUUUUUUUAGAUUUUGAAUUCCAAAACCUUGAGUGGUGGUGGUGAGGAACAGCAAAUGCGACAGGCGGUGUGGUGGCGGUGGCUAGUAUAGACCCUUUGCGACGUGCCCGUUGACACGUACUACAAACAAGCGGAUAGUUUCAACAGAACACUCACACUUCAUUCCAAUUCUUUUUUGCUAAGUUAUCUUUAGUCAGAGUGACACCUUUUUGUAAGUACCAUGGGAAAAUCUUAAUUUUCACCUUUUCAGUUGUACCUGUAGUUUCUAUAGUGGACUUUUAUUGACAAUAACUCCUUGCCGGAUCAGAGUUCUAUACUAAGGUUCUACUAAAAGACAUUUUUUCCAUUUGUAAGGCCUUGUUCAGUUGGCAAAAUUUUUUGGUUUCAGGUACUGUAGCACUUUCGUUUGUAUUUGAUAAAUAUUGUCAAAUUAUGAACUAAUUAGGCUUAAAAAAUUUGUGUAGCAAAUUAUAGACAAACUGUGUAAUUAGUUUUUAUUUUCGUCUAUAUUUAAUACUCCAUAUAUGUGCCGUAAGAUCCGAUGUAACGGAAAAUCUUAAAAAAUUUUGGGUACUUUUUAGAAACUAAACAAGGCCUAAGGUGAACUUGGCAUAUGCAGGUGCCGAGACAUGUCACUUCGACGCCAUAGCCUGUGGCACCGAUCCCUAGGGUCUAUAUUCAGGAAUAGGUCUCCUCUAGUGUAAAUGUGAAUAUUUUUUAAAAAUAGUUAAAAUAAAAAAAGAAGUCAGUCGACGCAUGCUCACGGGCCACACGAGACAGGUUGAGAUGAUGCGACGUGGAAGACGGCAGCUAUAAGGGGAAGGAGACCGAGGCAUCCAUGGCUGCUAGAUGAGUCUUUGAGAUCACCCUUGGAUAGAGCCGAUGAUGGCUCCAUUGUACAGAGCGGAUGGCGGCAAAGAGGAAGGAUAUCAGAAUUGUAAAGAAAGAUACUCCAUCCGUCUAAAAAAAAAUCAAUUUCUAGAAUCAAUGUCAGUCAAACUUUUUUAAAUUUUCUCACGAAAGAGUAACAACAUCUAUGACACAAAAUAUGCAUCAUAUGAAAAUAUAUUUUAUGAUGAAUCUUAUGAUACUAAUUUGAGACCAUAAAUCUUAGCAUUUUUUAGAAAUUUGGUCAAAGUUUUAAAAGUUUGACUUAGAACAACUCUAGACAUUGACUCUUUUAUGGACAGAGAGUAGAUGAAAUCAUGGCUGACGAGGAACACCGUAGUUAGUUAAUUCAAUUAGCUACUAAUGCGACGUCACUGCUGCCGCCACGGCCAGCCUCAAUCCAGGAACAUGAUCCAGUCAGCGCCCUUUCUUCCUUGCAUCCUGGCGACAGCUUCCUUGCCGCUCAGGCUACGGUUGCGGUCUAUGCCCUACUAUAAAUAGCGCACUCGCUGUUGGGCGCUCCCUGCAUACACAGCUUGCUUGCCGCUCUUGCAUCGACGAGAGUUCGAGGGAGACCAGCAGGUGCGGAAGGAUUCGACCCGGAGCCGGAGGUGAGUCUUUUUUUCCCACUCCCCGCCUGUAUUGAGUAUUGACUGCCACGAUUACAGUCUGGUAUAAUGCUGUGACUAGAGCCCUAGACUCGACUCAAAGGGGCUAGUUGAAAUGUCGCCUGCUUCGGCGGUUAGAGCCUUAGAGGCAGCUGAGUAUUUCGAUUUAUUGACUUGCAACGAAUUGAUUCUACAGUUCAGACGUCCAGUUCACAACUUCAAAUGGCUGCUGAAUCAGAGAACAGCAACUGCAACGCUUGGGCAGCGAGAGAUCCUUCUGGAGUUCUGUCACCUUACAGCUUUAACCGCAGGUGAAAAAGUUGCAAAUACUGUCUUCUUGCUAUUCUAGACUAUUUCUUUGGGAUAUCUAUUGUUUCCAUGCCAUUUUAUGUACCUUAUGUUUGGUUUUCAGUGUCUAACAUACAUGCCUGUUUCCAAAUGGGCAUUGUCUUGUGUCAUUGUGUGGAACAAGACAAGUAGUGCAGCUAUCUCUGCUCGUGUGGUUUGUCAAGCUAAAAUCAUUAACUUGAUGCUUACUAUAUAUGGGGCAUUGGGUGAGCAUUUUAGGUCUGAUGGAAUUGCAGAAAGUCUCUGUAGAGGCCUCGGCCUCUCCAGUUUCCUCAAAAAAAAAUUGCAGAAAUUUGAGGGCUAUAAUAGCAACAUGCUUGUCUUUUGGUUCACCUAGCUUAAUGGUUUCAUUUCCGUAACGUCUUCUUAUGAGAGCUAGCUAAUAUGUGUAUAUAUAAUAAUUUUCAGAGCAGUGCAAAGCAACGAUGUUGCGCUGAAGAUUAUAUACUGUGGAGUCUGUUAUGCUGACGUUGCUUGGACAAGGAACGUGCUCAAUGAUUCAAAAUAUCCUUUGGUUCCUGGGUGAGUGUUUUCAGAUCAAUACAUUGAAUCCCUCAGAGGAAACUAAACAUCAUAGUCAAAAUCUCAUAUUUGUCAACGAUAUUAAUUUGUGCAGGCACGAGAUAGCUGGAGUUGUAACUCAGGUUGGUGCAGAUGUCAAAGGAUUUAAAGUGGGUGACCAUGUAGGUGUUGGAACAUAUGUGAACUCAUGCCGAGAUUGUGAGAACUGCAAUAGCUCUCUAGAGAACCACUGCCCAAAAGCAGUUUAUACUUUCAAUGGCAUUGAUACAGAUGGAACUGUCACAAUGGGAGGUUAUUCCACGCACAUUGUAGUCCAUGCAAGGUAUGGUAGUACUGUUUUAAUUGGCAGUUCAAACAAGAUUUUUUUAUAUUGAUAAAGCUAUGUAGUUUCUUAUGAGAGAGAAAAAUUUUGGUUAUUGUUGUCCAUCCAUUUUCAUCAUAAUCAUUACAUGAUGAAAGGAUAAUAUAUAGGUCCAUAUAAGUCACUGUUGACACCUUGAUACUAGUUCAAUACAAUUUCUCAGAUAAGUGAUCACAUUUUCUGUUGAUUAAUGUGAACUUUAGGUAUUGCUUCCAAAUACCUGAUGGCUACCCUUUGGCAAAGGCAGCACCUCUUCUGUGUGCUGGGAUAACUGUGUAUACUCCAAUGAUGCGACACAAUAUGAACCAACCUGGAAAGUCACUUGGGGUCAUUGGACUCGGUGGUCUGGGUCACAUGGCUGUGAAAUUUGGUAAAGCAUUUGGUCUGAAGGUCACAGUUUUCAGUACAAGUGAAUCCAAGAGAGAUGAAGCCAUCAACCUCCUUGGAGCAGAUAAUUUUGUUAUAUCAUCG